AGAUGGGUUAUGCCAUAUAACCCUUACCUUCUGCGGAUGUUCAAUUGCCACAUCAACGUUGAGGUUUGCUCCAGCAUAAAGGCCGUCAAAUACCUUUACAAGUACAUAUACAAGGGCCAUGAUAGGGCUUCUUUCAGCAUCGACCAGCCCGAUGCUGAUGGUAACAUUGAUGAGAUCAAAAGAUACGUAGACGCGAGGUGGGUUACUCCUUCAGAGGCGAUGUGGAGGAUAUUUGGCUUCCCCUUGUGUGCCAAUGACCCGUCUGUCCUACAGUUUCCUCUUCAUCACCCGAAUAUGCACAGGGUGGCAUUCAAUGAGCAAGCUCACUUGACCGACGUAGUCGCCUCUGAGAAAGCUUCCAAAUCCAUGUUGACAGAGUAUUUCAAAGCUAACCAAAACCACCCGUGGGCUAGGAAUAUAUUGUACAAGGAUUUUCCUGGA
Molecule: ribosomal RNA, 441 nt
Filed under: Triticum aestivum (bread wheat)
Lineage: Eukaryota; Viridiplantae; Streptophyta; Magnoliopsida; Poales; Poaceae
Description: partial small subunit ribosomal RNA
Source: RNAcentral